AUCGAAUCCCACAUCGGGCUCCCUGCAUGGAGCCUGCUUCUCCCUCUGCCUGUGUCUCUGCCUCUCUCUCUCUCUCUCUGUGACUAUCAUAAAUAAAUAAAAAAAUUAUUAAAAAAAUUUAAAAAAGAAAAAAGAAAAAUGGCUCUGGUUAGCGCCACCUUCAGCCCAGGGCGUGACCCCGGGGUCCGGGGAUCGAGUCCCGAGUCGGGCUCCCUGCAUGGACCCUGCUUCUCCCUCUGCCUGGGUCUCUGCCUCUCUCUCUCUCUCUCUCUCUCUCUCUGUCUCCCAUGAAUAAAUAAAUAAAAUUUUUAAAAACAGAGAGAGUGGGGGAUCCCUGGGUGGCUCAGCAGUUAGCACCUGCCUCCAACCCAGGGUGUGAUCCUGGAGUCUUGGUAUCGAGUCCCACGUCGGGCUCCCUGCAUGGAGCCUGCUUCUCCCUCUGCCUAUGUCUCUGCCUCUCUCUUUCUGUGUCUCUCAUGAAUAAAUAAAAUCUUCAAAAAAAAAAAAAAUGAAUGCAAGCCAAUCAUCUUGGAGAGAGAAUCUGUCCAUGUGCAGUUGCUCUGGUUAAAGAAAAAAAAACACCACACGAUCUCCCAUGAACGAAUAAAACCUUAAGAAAGAAAGAAAAGAAAGAAAGAAAGAAAGAAAGAAAGAAAGAAAGAAAGAAAGAAAGAAAGAAAGAAAAAAAAGAAAGAGAGAAAGAAAUAGAGAAAGAAAGAAGAAAGAAAGAAAGAAAGAAAGAAAGAAAGAAAGAAAGAAAGAAAAGAAAGAAAAAGAAAGAAAGAAAGAAUACACGACAGUGUGAUGAGGUGAGGGUUGGGUUGUCUUAUGUCCCCUCCUCUCAAGGGCUGACCAUCCUUUCACUCUUAAGGCCGGGCCCUGACCCCCGGGGGGCAGCUGAGGACACCCAGAGCCACCCGCCCGGAGCCGUCCAGCGAGCAUCUGAAACCAGUAUCAACUGCUGUGCUGGCCGGGCAGGCUCCCCGGGCUCCAGCCCUGCGGUGCACCCUUCACAGCUUCCACUGUCCACCUGCGAUGAAAAUUUCCCCCGUUGUGUCGUGGAACCUGCUGGAGCAAGAGCUGAAACAGCAGUAAGGGGACGACUCCCCUAUGGGUCAGUGGUCCUUCAUUAUUCUGAAAUCCAAAAACUUUGAAGACAAAAUGUUUUAAGAGAAGUUUUCAGCAAACUUAUUUGAUGAUAAAAUAUACCUGGACUGAGGUUAGUCUUUGUUCCUUUUCUUACACUUUUUGUAAAUGUACACACUGAGAACAUACAUCAUACAUGAAUCAUUUUGUCUUGUGAAAAGCUAAAAAAUUCUGAUAUAGCGUGGCUCUGAAGUUUUCCUAUAAGGAAUUGGUGUAUCUGAAUAUGUAUAUCAAAUUCACGAAUAAAACCAAUAGUCUAGUGGCUCGCUUUCUAGAG
This 1423-nucleotide long non-coding RNA is filed under the name Vulpes vulpes (red fox). RNAcentral's name for it is "lncRNA (ENSVVUG00000004390.1)". Lineage: Eukaryota; Metazoa; Chordata; Mammalia; Carnivora; Canidae. The record is from RNAcentral.